CAGCAGUGGGGGAAUAUUGCACAAUGGGCGCAAGCCUGAUGCAGCCAUGCCGCGUGUGUGAAGUAAGGCCUUCGGGUUGUAAAGCACUUUCAGUUGUGAGGAAGGUGGUGUCGUUAAUACGCGGCAUCAUUUGACGUUAGCAACAGAAGAAGCACCGGCUAACUCCGUGCCAGCAGCCGCGGUAAUACGGAGGGUGCGAGCGUUAAUCGGAAUUACUGGGCGUAAAGCGCAUGCAGGUGGUUUGUUAAGUCAGAUGUGAAAGCCCGGGGCUCAACCUCGGAACUGCAUUUGAAACUGGCAGACUAGAGUACUGUAGAGGGGGUAGAAUUUCAGGUGUAGCGGUGAAAUGCGUAGAGAUCUGAAGGAAUACCGGUGGCGAAGGCGGCCCCCCUGGACAGAUACUGACACUCAGAUGCGAAAGCGUGGGGAGCAAACCAGGAUUAGAUACCCCUCGGUAG
Molecule: ribosomal RNA, 458 nt
Filed under: uncultured bacterium
Lineage: Bacteria
Description: bacterial SSU rRNA
Rfam family: Bacterial small subunit ribosomal RNA
Source: RNAcentral